AACAUGACGAGAAAAACGAGAAAGGCCUUCGGGUUGAGUACAGUGGCGAAUUUGUCAGUAACGCGUGGGAAUCUACCCUUUUGUGAAGAAUACCCUCGAGAAAUCGAGGUUAAUACUGCAUAAGCUCCUGCGGGAGGAAAGAUGGCUUAAUUGCUGUCGCUGAAGGAUGAGCCUGCGUACUAUUAGCUAGUUGGUAGGGUAAUGGCCUACCAAGGCGAGGAUGGUUAGCCGGCCUGAGAGGGUGAUCGGCCACAUUGGAACUGAGACACGGUCCAGACUCCUACGGGAGGCAGCAGUGGG
RNAcentral lists this small RNA (300 nucleotides) under uncultured bacterium. RNAcentral's name for it is "bacterial SSU rRNA". It matches the Rfam family "Bacterial small subunit ribosomal RNA", at positions 53 to 355 of the family's 1533-position model. The record is from RNAcentral.